AGAUAUUAUCCCCUUGUAGUGUAGUUUAAUAGCUAUCUACAUAUUAACUUAAUAUAAAGUAUAAUAGUUUAUAUUUUAUAAUAUGACGUUAACAAUUUUGUUUAAUAUUUGAAAAUGUUAGUAUUAGUAAUAUUAGUAUAUGUGCUAAAGGAACUCGGCAAAAAACCACUCAACUGUUUAUCAAAAACAUAGCUAUAUGAAUUAAUAUAUAGUUAUUUCUGCUCAAUGAUUUAAAUAGCCGCAGUACUCUGACUGUGCAAAGGUAGCAUAAUCAGUUGGCUUUUAAUUAGAGUCUGGUAUGAACGAAAAUAUGGGUAGUAACUGUCUUAGCACAUUUUUUCGAACUUAUUAAACAAGUGCAAAUGCUUGUAAUUUAACAAUAGACGAGAAGACCCUAGAAACUUGGACAAGUUUUUGUUGGGGCGACAGAAUUACACUUAACUAAUCUUAUAAUACACGACGCGAUGCUGAAAGAAUAAGUUACUCUAGGGAUAACAGCAUAAUUUCAUUAGUUUGUGACCUCGAUGUUGGACUAGGUACUAUACCCUUAAGGCAAGGAUAUAUUAUGCUCUGUUCGAGCAAAAUUACCUACAUGAUCUGAGUUCAGACCGG
Molecule: ribosomal RNA, 612 nt
Filed under: Helix pomatia (Roman snail)
Lineage: Eukaryota; Metazoa; Mollusca; Gastropoda; Stylommatophora; Helicidae
Description: partial 16S ribosomal RNA
Source: RNAcentral